CCUACGGGAGGCUGCAGUGAGGAAUAUUGGUCAAUGGGCGGGAGCCUGAACCAGCCAAGUCGCGUGAGGGAAGACGGUCCUAUGGAUUGUAAACCUCUUUAGGCGGGGAGCAAUGCCGGGCACGUGUGCCCGGAGGGAGAGUACCCGCAGAAUAAGCAUCGGCUUACUCCGUGCCAGCAGCCGCGGUAAUACGGAGGAUGCGAGCGUUAUCCGGAUUUAUUGGGUUUAAAGGGUGCGUAGGCGGAGUUUUAAGUCAGCGGUAAAAUGUCCGGGCUAAACCCGGGCGGGCCGUUGAAACUGGGGAGCUUGAGUGGGCGAGAAGUAUGCGGAAUGCGUGGUGUAGCGGUGAAAUGCAUAGAUAUCACGCAGAACUCCGAUUGCGAAGGCAGCAUACCGGCGCCCGACUGACGCUGAGGCACGAAAGCGUGGGGAUCGAACAGGAUUAGAUACCCGGGUAGUC
This 460-nucleotide ribosomal RNA is filed under the name uncultured bacterium. Its description in RNAcentral is "partial 16S ribosomal RNA". It matches the Rfam family "Bacterial small subunit ribosomal RNA", at positions 338 to 795 of the family's 1533-position model. The record is from RNAcentral.